GCGCGAAGCGCCGCCGGUGAAUCAUGCUCAGGCCUUAGCUUUGUAGGUAGUGGGUGAAUGCCGCUCUGCUCCGCUCCGGCGGAUAACCGUAGUUGUUGUGCGCUUCGUCGAGAUUUCCCUCUUUCGUCGACUCUCACCUAUAGCAACAACUCAAGGCAACAACGCGUGGCUCCACAUCUCCCCGUGCUUCUCGAUUCUCGAAUCACGGACGGACGGUUGUUGGUUGGGUUCGAUGGAAAAUAAUGUUCAUGGUUGCAUGCUGCUGCUGCUGGGGGAUUGGCCGAGUGCAUGCUGUUGACUCCAACUGGUUCCAGUCGUAUUCCGGCAUUUCUGACGGUCGGUCCGUAUUUGUUCGUUUCUCGCGUCUUGUGGAUCCGUAUACGAAAGUCGUCGGGUUGAGUUGUUUUGAAAGUCGUGCGUGCGUGCGAGCGUUGUGUUUUGGGGAUCCGCUUGAGGACUCGUUGAGCAGUUUCCCCGAAAUAUUCCACCGGAUUCGAAAAGUUGACGUCCGGCUUAGGUGGGGGUCGUCCUGUGGAAAAGUCAACUCGGAGCUCCCACUUACGACGAAGGAUUUGGUCCGGAAGCUCGUGGGACGUGACGUUCAACGGUGACGACGUGCUGCAGCUCCAUGCUGAGUGUAGUGAGUUGUUAAUAAAUAAUUGCAGCCGAGAAAAAGGAAACUUUCAGCAACGCGAAAAGUGACUGUGUGAAGGAGAUCCGGUCAGGUCCGGUCUGAUAGCAGUAGAAGCAGUCCGGUUCGACUUGUUUUUCGCCACGUCCGUCCAUCGCGCCGUAGUGUGGACGACGGGCUGAUAACGACGGAAAAGAGCUGUUGCCAUUAAAAAAAAGUUUCGACUCCGAGCUCGGCGACUGUCGUUAGGGGGCUAGGGGACACUAACCAAGUGGCGGUUGGCGAGAUCUGGAAGUCACGUUCUACCAAUAACCGACGACCUUCUCGCGUGAGUCGGUGUCCACGUGCGACGUGCCACUUUCUGUGAUUAUCGUGACGGUCCAGAGGUGUUAUGCAGUGAAGUUGAGCGCGAAGAAUAAAGUAGCAAUCAAAGAAUUAAGAAAAAUAAGUCAGCCUGGUGAUUUUGUUGUGGGUUGAGCUGUCUGGGUCAUUGCAACACCCGACUGAUUACAAAACGGCCUGCAUCGGUGUUGUAUUUUUUGGCAUGUUCGAGCCAGUGGAAAUUUGCGGCCUUCGCGCCUUCGUGAUUCGAUUUGGCUGAUUUUUCUCAAAUUGUUUCGAGAGUGAUCAAAAUAGAAGAAGCAGAAAAUCCGCAAGAAAGCAGUUUUCUCGCCUCGAGGGGCAAAAGUGGUGCACCCGCCGCGCCGCGCUCCGCCAAAUUGAAAGCGCAGUGUAAUUGUUGUUGCCGUUCGCAGGCUGAAGUUGCCCGCCGCCGCCCGUGUUCAGUGAAUUAUUCUCAAUUUUCGAUUCCACCCGUUGUUGUUUGGCUGCAAUUCGAGAGCCCAAAUACGAGCGCGGACUGAGCAAUAGGGUACCCGACCUACCUAUACCUACGUUGUUGUUGUUGGUUGGGAGUGUAGAAGAUAAUCCGCAAAAAAAAGAAGGCGCAAAGUGUCAGCCACGGAGAAGUCGUUCGAACACACUCUCGGCCGGGCCAAGUCAAGUUUCGAAAAACCGGUUUCGACAGAGUCAGUCAGGCAGCUUUCAGGUUCAGAAAUCCCGUGCGGGAGUAGUGUGGAGUGAUUGCAGUGUGCGAUUGUGUAUGUGUUUGCAUUAUUGAGGAGUACAGCGGAAAGCGACAACGUUGACGUCGUCGUCGUCGUCGUCAUCUGAUAAAGCGCAGAACAAGUAAGAAGCCGGUAGACUGCCGCUUGAACCGGCUUGAAUCUUGCUGUAAGGUUGCAUUUUUGCCAGUCGGUUGGACACUGCAUGCCAUCUGGAGCCCUCUAGGGGGAGUGAUGACUUCGUGAGUGCGAGAAGCAACGAAUCUUAAAGAUUUAACUAGGAGUGAUAGCGGAACGCAUUUCCAGAAGAAGCAACCUUUCAGCAGCAUUAAGAAGCCUUUCUCAAAGCCCGGGCAAGGAUAAUCCCCGUGUGCUUUUGGGUUGCCUAUUUGCAGGUGUAAUCGGGCAGAAAUCGCGGCUGGGCAUCACCGGACAGAAGCAGCCGCGGACCUCCAUCGCCGGUAAUUACGAUGAUUGGGAUCGAUUACCCAGCGAAAGCUUGAGAGAUGAUGAUGGUAUGUACUGGGACUGACAUCUAAUGAUCUCCGUAAGUAACUGAAAAAAACUCGGCCACACGUGAUGAAUGUGAAAAAUAAGUUAUAGAUGUUGAAAUAUGUUCAUAAAAAAAAUGAAAGAAAUACUUUCAUCAGGCUUACACUAAACCAUCUUCCAAGCUCACUCAUAAUACUGAAAGACGACGCAACCAAACCAUCAGCCAUAGCCACUGGGAAUAUAUUUGGCACUACUAACUCCAAUGUUGCAAGUUACUCGAAAUCAAGAUAAGAAAGUGUAUAGUAUUUAUGUUUGUUUAGCAGAAUAAUUGCAUUGAAAUCGAACUACGAUUUUUUUUGAAAACGAUUUGUUUGACUACUGUAAAAUCUUCGUCAAUUCCUUCGGUAAUGCAUUAGGAUUUUUGGCAAUAUAUUCGAGAAUGUAUUGGGCUAUCCCUGUGAAAAUUCUUUGAAUUAUUCCUCUGGGAAUUCCUUCCAAAAUUUCUGUACGAAUUUUCAUUUAUUUUUGUGAAUUUCGAUAGUAAUUCGGUUGAAUUUUGAACAUCAUUUAUUAUUAUUAUUAUUAUUAUUCUUAUUUUGAAAGUUUUUCGUCAGUUUCUUUGGGAUU
This is a long non-coding RNA of Aedes albopictus (Asian tiger mosquito), 2814 nucleotides long. RefSeq lists it as uncharacterized. The transcript has 5 exons. The record is from RefSeq and is a predicted model, not a curated record. Lineage: Eukaryota; Metazoa; Arthropoda; Insecta; Diptera; Culicidae.